AGUUUGAUCCUGGCUCAGGACGAACGCUGGCGGCGUGCCUAAUACAUGCAGGUCGAGCGAUGAUUAGAGAUAGCUUGCUAUCUUUAUGAAGAGCGGCGAACGGGUGAGUAACGCAUGGGAAAUCUGCCGAGUAGCGGGGGACAACGUUUGGAAACGAACGCUAAUACCGCAUAACAAUGAGGAUCGCAUGAUUCUUAUUUAAAAGAAGCAAUUGCUUCACUACUUGAUGAUCCCGCGUUGUAUUAGCUAGUUGGUAGUGUAAAGGACUACCAAGGCGAUGAUACAUAGCCGACCUGAGAGGGUGAUCGGCCACACUGGGACUGAGACACGGCCCAGACUCCUACGGGAGGCAGCAGUAGGGAAUCUUCGGCAAUGGGGGCAACCCUGACCGAGCAACGCCGCGUGAGUGAAGAAGGUUUUCGGAUCGUAAAACUCUGUUGUUAGAGAAGAACGUUAAGUAGAGUGGAAAGUUACUUAAGUGACGGUAUCUAACCAGAAAGGGACGGCUAACUACGUGCCAGCAGCCGCGGUAAUACGUAGGUCCCAAGCGUUGUCCGGAUUUAUUGGGCGUAAAGCGAGCGCAGGUGGUUUCUUAAGUCUGAUGUAAAAGGCAGUGGCUCAACCAUUGUGUGCAUUGGAAACUGGGAGACUUGAGUGCAGGAGAGGAGAGUGGAAUUCCAUGUGUAGCGGUGAAAUGCGUAGAUAUAUGGAGGAACACCGGAGGCGAAAGCGGCUCUCUG
This 740-nucleotide ribosomal RNA is filed under the name uncultured bacterium. RNAcentral's name for it is "bacterial SSU rRNA". It matches the Rfam family "Bacterial small subunit ribosomal RNA", at positions 10 to 731 of the family's 1533-position model. The record is from RNAcentral.